CGACCGGCCACAUUGGGACUGAGAUACGGCCCAGACUCCUACGGGAGGCAGCAGUGGGGAAUAUUGCACAAUGGGCGCAAGCCUGAUGCAGCGACGCCGCGUGAGGGAUGGAGGCCUUCGGGUUGUAAACCUCUUUUGUUUGGGAGCAAGCCUUCGGGCGAGUGUACCUUUCGAAUAAGCGCCGGCUAACUACGUGCCAGCAGCCGCGGUAAUACGUAGGGCGCAAGCGUUAUCCGGAUUUAUUGGGCGUAAAGGGCUCGUAGGCGGCUCGUCGCGUCCGGUGUGAAAGUCCAUCGCUUAACGGUGGAUCUGCGCCGGGUACGGGCGGGCUGGAGUGCGGUAGGGGAGACUGGAAUUCCCGGUGUAACGGUGGAAUGUGUAGAUAUCGGGAAGAACACCGAUGGCGAAGGCAGGUCUCUGGGCCGUCACUGACGCUGAGGAGCGAAAGCGUGGGGAGCGAACAGGAUUAGAUACCCUGGUAGUCCACGCCGUAAACGGUGGACGCUGGAUGUGGGGCACGUUCCACGUGUUCCGUGUCGGAGCUAACGCGUUAAGCGUCCCGCCUGGGGAGUACGGCCGCAAGGCUAAAACUCAAAGAAAUUGACGGGGGCCCGCACAAGCGGCGGAGCAUGCGGAUUAAUUCGAUGCAACGCGAAGAACCUUACCUGGGCUUGACAUGUUCCCGACGACGCCAGAGAUGGCGUUUCCCUUCGGGGCGGGUUCACAGGUGGUGCAUGGUCGUCGUCAGCUCGUGUCGUGAGAUGUUGGGUUAAGUCCCGCAACGAGCGCAACCCUCGCCCCGUGUUGCCAGCACGUUAUGGUGGGAACUCACGGGGGACCGCCGGGGUUAACUCGGAGGAAGGUGGGGAUGACGUCAGAUCAUCAUGCCCCUUACGUCCAGGGCUUCACGCAUGCUACAAUGGCCGGUACAGCGGGAUGCGACAUGGCGACAUGGAGCGGAUCCCUGAAAACCGGUCUCAGUUCGGAUCGGAGCCUGCAACCCGGCUCCGUGAAGGCGGAGUCGCUAGUAAUCGCGGAUCAGCAACGCCGCGGUGAACGCGUUCCCGGGCCUUGUACACACCGCCCGUCAAGUCAUGAAAGUGGGCAGCACCCGAAGCCGGUGGCCUAACCCCUUGUGGGAUGGAGCCGUCUAAGGUGAGGCUCGUGAUUGGGACUAAGUCGUAACAAGGUAGCCGUACCGGAAGGUGCGGCUG
RNAcentral lists this ribosomal RNA (1214 nucleotides) under metagenome. RNAcentral describes it as "bacterial SSU rRNA". It matches the Rfam family "Bacterial small subunit ribosomal RNA", at positions 301 to 1520 of the family's 1533-position model. The record is from RNAcentral.